AGGAGGGCAGGAGGCGGCCGCGGCCGGAGCUCGGUGGCACAGGCGCCUGUCUAGCGAGCACACGGCCCUGAGUUCGAUUCCCGGUGCCAAAAAAAAAAGACGGGGAAAGAGGACAGCUGAGAAAGCGCGCCGUGAACAGCAGCGGCCUGGCUUGCGGAUUUCCGCGAUUGUUACGGGCUCGGGGCAGCGUCAACAGCCCAGAAUUGGCCUCCAGGAGCCCCGUGGAAGUGCAUUUGGGGCACAAGAGAGCUCCCUGGAGCGUAGGGCGAGAUGGCGGACGCUGGUACACUGCGACUGCCAGGGAGAGAGCUCCAGGCAGCGGAGGAGGUGAAGAAGAGCCCUGAUGGGCGGACAGGGACCCCCUUUGCAAGAUGGCGGAGGACCGAGUGGUAAACGCACGGGGGUAACAGAGGGGUGGACGGACCCUGAACAUCAGGGAGAGUGCAGCGGAGCCGUCACCGAAGAGGCUGAGAACUGGCCCUGAUGAAGAAAUGCAAGCACAGAAAACCAAAACAACUGCUCUAGAUCAAACUUGCCCCAGUGAGAGAAUCAAGAUUUGAAGACAAGCCAGAAAACACCCAGGCGCAGCAGCUCUGCACCAUCCGAAGCAUCUGAGAGGGGCCAGGGGGUGGCUGCUAGUCUGGGGCUUGAGAAAGCGGAAGCUGCAACCCCGGGCCCCAGAAGACACUAACUUCAGGGUCCAAGAGUGCUCGCCACCUCUGCUUUGUGAAUCCACUUGGAAAGAACCUACUCUGUGGACAGAGCAGCUGCAUUGGGUGUGGUGGCAAACACCUACAAUCCCAACACUCUGGGAAGCUGAGGCAGAAGAAUAAAGUGUGAGCUGAGCCUGGGUAGCUCAGUGACUUAGUGAGAUCCUAUCUCAAAAAAAAAAAAAAGUGUAGGGAACAUAUUUCAGUGCAAAGGGCCUGUGUUAAAGCCCCAGUACUGCAAAAACAGACACCCACAACUGCAUUACAGAGCAAUGGACACCCUAUGUACAUCCAUCCAUGUUUAAAUGGAGAAAUCUACCAGGUGUGGUGGUGCUUACCUGUGAUCCCAGCAUGCAGGAGGCUGAGGUAGGAGCAUCGCCACCAGUCUGAGGCCAGCCUGGACUGCAUAAGCGACUAUCUCAAAACAACUCCUCCACAAACCCACAAAAGG
Chinchilla lanigera (long-tailed chinchilla) is the source of this 1161-nucleotide long non-coding RNA. RefSeq lists it as uncharacterized. The transcript has 4 exons. The record is from RefSeq and is a predicted model, not a curated record. Lineage: Eukaryota; Metazoa; Chordata; Mammalia; Rodentia; Chinchillidae.